AAAUCAUGUUGAGUGCAACUUCUAAUAAAGCCCUUUUAUCAUUCCCAAGCUUCAUAUAAGGACUCUCCCACCCCUUGUUGAAAGUUAGCAAUCUUCUUUUUAAGCUU
Molecule: small nucleolar RNA, 107 nt
Organism: Lactuca sativa (garden lettuce)
Lineage: Eukaryota; Viridiplantae; Streptophyta; Magnoliopsida; Asterales; Asteraceae
Source: RefSeq, a predicted model, not a curated record